Long non-coding RNA from Ailuropoda melanoleuca (giant panda), 2519 nucleotides. RefSeq lists it as uncharacterized. The record is from RefSeq and is a predicted model, not a curated record. NCBI's taxonomy places the organism in Eukaryota, Metazoa, Chordata, Mammalia, Carnivora, Ursidae. The transcript is spliced from 4 exons.
GCGCUGGGUGGUCGAUGUAUCUACAGCCAAGCAAUCAGAGAAUGUGGCCGUGUCUACAUGGUACAAAGCCGCACUCUAUCCUGUAUUCAAGAGCACUGUUUGCUAACGAAGCUCUGACCUUCAUGGGUACGUAUUUCUAAAACAGUAGAGAUAGAAGUGGUGUGGGGUGGAAGAGCUAGACAUCCGACCUGUCCCCUGAGCUUUUUCCACUCCAAGGACUUACUUUCCUAUCUUCAAUUAAGAUUGCCCAAAAUAAAGGUGAUGUUUUGCUCAUCACCGUCCAAACGAGAGAAGAAUUGUUACGUGCAACCAGGAAGACACAGUAUAUGUCAGCCCAAGCUGAGCAGUCCUCGUGCCACACUGCCAGCCACCAGAGCUACAUACCAGGAGCCCCAGAAGUAAUUUCCCUUCUUGAGUAUCUGAUAUGUAACCCUCCGACUGUAACCAGCAGGAUCUGCUAUGGAAUUUGCGGGGCUGGUGUAGAAUUUUCAGGGUCCAAUGGAAAGAGAAAGCAGACCCUCUUCUUCAAAAGGCAUUACGUAUUUCAAGACAAUGACAGCAGAGCACCAAACCAAACCCCAGGCCUUCAUGGGGACCUAUGAGACGGCACUGGUCACACACCCAUGAAGCUGGCCAUGACCACCAGAAGAGUGGGUGGUGCUGUACCGGUCAGGAGACACACCAAUCUCAGUGCCCUGCAAAGAAAGUCCAUUUAAGCCCUAUAAUAUAGUUUCUGCACCACUGGGAGCUGCCAUUCAACAUGUGUUGAAUAAAUGAAUUGCCCGUGGCAUGAGCGAAUGGCCGAUACGGGAAUGUAAUGUAAUUUCUCCUCCAAACACCAAACUGAAGGAAAGAGUGUGGUAAAGUCAGCUGUUACAGAGAGCAUCAAUACAUCGACCAAGUCUAGGUCUUGGAGAAAGUAUAAGCCAGAACAAUGGUUUAAAAUGCAUUGAAGACAUGGGAAGAAUAGUCCUACUGGCUGGACUGACACACCCAUUAGGCUCAAGAGAGUUGCCUAAAAUUAUGAUCGCAAGUCAAGAAAUAAUAGGAAGUAUGAAACAUUGCUUCAGUUCGCUCUUUAGACUUUUUGCCUCUGGUUGAGCCAGGCCAACUGUUUAAAACAUCUCUGGGUUCCCUCCAAAGCUGCUGGGCUAGAACCAUUACUGACGAGGCCCUGGAAUCUGCAUUAUCCACAAAGCUUCCAGUUGAUUCUUUAACACAAAGAAGUUUAAGACUAACUGGUCUAACGGAAUUGUCCAUCCUUGACUUCAUAUUUCCCAAGGAGUGUUUCCGCCAGUCUGUUAAAAGAUUUGCCAGGGCACAGAUAACGUACCUGGUCCAGUGGACAUUGGGAAGAGAACCUUUGCAUGAUUUUGGCGGAGAAAAGUAGCGACAGAGCUGGAUAUCUGUAGAAACAAUUUUCUGGAGUAGCUUCACUGCCUCUGAGCUUCCCCAGAUCUUUUCUUUAUGGCCCAGGCACUAGUAGAAAUCAUUCCAUACUUAAUGUUCUGAGAGAAACACUUAAUGCAGUCCUAAGAAUAUUGUAUUAGAAGAGAAUGGCCGUGUUCAGUCAUUGGCUCGCCAGGCUGACUUAUGAGCCCAAGUCACUCGUCUGACUAGGUAAUUUCCAAGACUCAGCUCUAGUACCCCAGCAUGGUAGAAGCCAUGUGAUCACGUAGAAAGGACACUGGACCAGACCUCAGAAGACUGGACUCAGUCCGAGCUUCAGCUCCAAUUAAGUCUUGGAUUUUAAAGAGGACGCUCAGUAACAAUGACUUCAAGUGCCACCGCGUGCUGCUCGGCAAUGAGUACUCUCGAUCCUGAUUCCCUGAUCCCGAGUCUAGGUUCUGGUUCUGGCCUCUGAAAGCAGGCGGCGGGAGAUCUCUUUCCACCAAGAGGACGGACAGGACCGCGACCUCCAGUGGGCGCCCACAAAGCCCUUCUGGUCACGCCAGACAAGCCUUGGGAAGUCGGUUUGCGGCUCAUCUCUGCUCUUUCUUCGGUUUUUAGCAAGCACUGGAAACGGAGCCCACCAGCCCUACAGUCCACAGCAUCUGCAAAAGUGGCUGCCGAGGUGGACAUGUUAGAAGAGUUCAUUGGGUUGACAACUAAUCACACACGAACACUGCAGUGAGCAACGCCUCGUUUCCCCGUCGCUUUCAGGCUGCAGAUGAGAAGGAAAGGAGAACACGAUGAAGUCCGAAGAGCGGGGUUAGCUACAGCGGCAUGUGAGGCAGCUGGUGACACCUGCCCCUCAUUUCCGGGCACGCACGCACGCACACACCUGAUUCAUCCGUCCUCCAGCCAACUUUCUAAAAAGAGUUCAAGGGUUUGAAAUUAUUCAUAGCAAAUCUUUCCUCAACUUUUUGCAUAAUUGAGUAAUCCAACUACUGAAUAAAGAAGGACUUGGUAUUUUUGGCUUCCUGGAAACUGUAGGGGAGGAAAACGCUUCCUUCUACCCUUCUAGGUUCUGUGGCUGGAUUAAGAAUAAAGUUGUCAUAAGACGGAUUAAUAGGAGG